RNAcentral lists this long non-coding RNA (1236 nucleotides) under Homo sapiens (human). RNAcentral's name for it is "HSALNT0362021". The record is from RNAcentral. Lineage: Eukaryota; Metazoa; Chordata; Mammalia; Primates; Hominidae.
AUAAGGUAGAUGAUAUUCAUUUCCCACCAGGUGAAAGGUAAGUGUGUUAGUUUCCUAAGGUUAUUGUUAAGUAUAAGAAACUUGGUGACUUAACAGAAAUUUAUUCUCUCACAGCUCUCAAGUCUGGAAGUCCUAAAUCAAGCUGAGGGCUGAGCCACGCUUCUUCCAAAGCUUCCAGGAGAGGACCCUUCUUUGCCUCUUCCAGCUUCUGGAAAACAUUUCCAUCUGGCUUUCCUCUGUCUGACUUAAACAAUGAUUUUCCAUCCUACCUGAACAUUAUAAUCAUCUGGAAGAGUUUUUUAAAAUACAGAUGCUAUUGCUACACCCAUGGAGCUUGUGUCUUACCAUCUGAUAUGGUUUGGCUGUGUCCGCACUCAACUCUCAUCAUGAAUUGUAGUUCCCGUAAUCCCCAUGUGUCAUGGGAGAGGCCUAGUGGAAGGUAAUUGAAUUAUGGGGAAGGUUACCUCCAUGCUGCUGUUCUCAUGAUAGUGAGUGAGUUCUCAAGGGAUCUGACGGUUUUAUAAGGGGCUUUUCCCUCUUUGCUCUGCACUUCUGCCUGCUCCCACCACAUAAAGAAAGAUAUCUUUGCUUCCCCUUCCGCCAUGAGUGUAAGUUUCCUGAGGCCUCCCCCGCCAUGCUGAACUGUGAGUCAGUUAAACUCUUUCCUUUAUAAAUUACCUAGUCUAUGGUAUGUCUUUAUUAGCAGCAUAAGAAUGGACUAAUACAGCAUCUGUGAUUCUAUUCCAGUUUAGGAUGAGAUCCCCUGGUCUCUAAGAUGCUUCAAGAUAGCAGAUCCAGCAUUAACUCCUUCAAGUGUGAAAUCCUGACAGCUAAAUAGUUUCUUUCGUAAACAUAUCUUAAGCAUUUAGUGGCCUCCUUGUCCUUCAAGACUGUGUUAAGUGUUUCUUUUCAUACAAUAUGUUAGCCUUGUAUUAUAUAACCUGGACAGUUUAAUUCAACUCUAGUCGACUUUCUCCCUACCCCCACCUUUACUUUUAUCUCUGUCUCACUUAGACUGACCCCAUUGAGGAUGGGGGCUGUUGCCUUUAUCUCUGUGUCCCAUUUAUCUACUACAGGGCUCAGCACACAGUAUGCCUUUAAUGCAUUUAGUAAAAUAAUGACUUACUUCUCUAGUUUGAGUUUUCAGAAAAAGGAAAUUUCUCCUACUCUCAAUAUCUCAUAUUGGCCUGAGCCCUCAACCAAUUGAAAGCAAACAACAGCUAAAUUUCUCACUAC